GCUGGGCAUGGUGGCACAUGCCUGUAAUCCCAGCUACUCAGGAAGCUGAGGCAGGAGAAUUGCUUGAACCCGGGAGGUGGAGGUUGCAGUGAGCCGAGAUCAUGCCACUGCACUCCAGCCUGGGCAACAGAGCGAGACUCUGUCUCAA
RNAcentral lists this non-coding RNA (148 nucleotides) under Homo sapiens (human). Lineage: Eukaryota; Metazoa; Chordata; Mammalia; Primates; Hominidae. The record is from Rfam by way of RNAcentral.